CCUCAUGUGGAUGGGGAUCUGCAGCUUGAAAAGCUACAAUGCCAGGAUUUCAUUACAACAUCAUUAAGCUUUGCAUUUGUCAAGAAAGGAUUUAAGUUUUUGUGUAAAGGUAGAGCUGGUGUCCUUCUGGAGGUUUCCCAUCAAUAUUAAGUUGCAGGAUGCAUUUGGCAUCCUGUCGGUCAGGAUGCCAGUGAUCAUGUGGUGGAUGCCUGAAUCCCGACCCCACUCGGACCGGCUCCGGAACACUGACAGCCAACAUCCCGAAGGUCCAGUUGGUUCUUCAUUACAAAGAGGAGGAAGCUUGCAGUUGGGACAGAGAGCUGGAUACCGAGACCAUUCUUAGGGCAUUGGUGGCAUCCUUACAGUGAUAAGCACCUCUUCAGUCAUCCGAGAACCUGGAUGCAGAUGCCAGCCACCUGGUCUUGCUCCUUGCCUUGAGUUGUGACACUGGUCACACUGAUCUUGUUGCAGCCCUGUAUUCUUUUCACUAGAGCAUUAUUGCCCUAGUGAAAAGAAUAAUGUAUAAUUUUCACUGUAUACUUUUAUAAUACUGUAUAGUUUUCAAUAGGGCAUUAUUGCAACUUGUUCUUUUCACAAAAAGACCAAGUUGCAAUAAAUAAUGCUAUCCUUUUGAUAGCUUGUAAAUGUGUCUUUAAUACAUGUGAAGCAUGUUAAUUUACCAAAAUGUGGUUAGCAGUAGCAGAGAUAUUUUACAAAAAAAUAGCAGCAAAGUAAUCCCAAAAAUCAUUGUACUGUGCUAUAUUCAGUUCUGUAAAUAUGAAGAAUAAUGUAAACUUGCAAUGAUAAUGCUUCAUGCUUAACAUAACUGUUUCAGAGCUAGUGCAAAUUCAUUUCCCAAGCUUUAAUCUCUUAUUGUAAUUAAAUUGUUAUGCAAUUUAUAGGAUGCAUUUGAUGAUGCCAAUGAGGACUUAAUUAAAAUCCUAAUUUGAAGCAUGUAAACAAAAAUGUCUAUUACAUUAAACAGCAUUUGUUUAAAA
This is a long non-coding RNA of Pseudophryne corroboree (corroboree frog), 998 nucleotides long. RefSeq lists it as uncharacterized. The transcript is spliced from 3 exons. The record is from RefSeq and is a predicted model, not a curated record. Lineage: Eukaryota; Metazoa; Chordata; Amphibia; Anura; Myobatrachidae.